UUGAACGCUGGCGGCAGGCUUAACACAUGCAAGUCGAGCGGGGAAAGGUAGCUUGCUACCUGACCUAGCGGCGGACGGGUGAGUAAUGCUUAGGAAUCUGCCUAUUAGUGGGGGACAACAUCUCGAAAGGGAUGCUAAUACCGCAUACGUCCUACGGGAGAAAGCAGGGGACCUUCGGGCCUUGCGCUAAUAGAUGAGCCUAAGUCGGAUUAGCUAGUUGGUGGGGUAAAGGCCUACCAAGGCGACGAUCUGUAGCGGGUCUGAGAGGAUGAUCCGCCACACUGGGACUGAGACACGGCCCAGACUCCUACGGGAGGCAGCAGUGGGGAAUAUUGGACAAUGGGGGGAACCCUGAUCCAGCCAUGCCGCGUGUGUGAAGAAGGCCUUUUGGUUGUAAAGCACUUUAAGCGAGGAGGAGGCUACCGAGAUUAAUACUCUUGGAUAGUGGACGUUACUCGCAGAAUAAGCACCGGC
RNAcentral lists this ribosomal RNA (474 nucleotides) under uncultured Acinetobacter sp. RNAcentral describes it as "bacterial SSU rRNA". It matches the Rfam family "Bacterial small subunit ribosomal RNA", at positions 30 to 497 of the family's 1533-position model. The record is from RNAcentral. Lineage: Bacteria; Pseudomonadati; Pseudomonadota; Gammaproteobacteria; Moraxellales; Moraxellaceae.